AAGUUUCCUUUGUAUAACCCCAUAAAAUCUUCUCGUAUUAGAUGUUUAGGCUUGUUUGAGAAUUUAGAUCCAUGUUGGUUUUGCUUGGUUUCUUGAUUCUUCUCUCUACUUUUUUUUUUUCUUGAUUUUCUUUACUGGGUUACAAAGAUUGAAGUCCGUUUUAAUUUCUCGGUUAAAUAUGAAAACUAAAAAGAAUAUGCUAAUGAGUAUUGAUGCAUGCGGACCAGGGUUCAAAAAAGGAUAUACUAUCUGCUUUAUGGCCUCAGUUCGAAAGGGAUAUUGCCAUGCGGAAACAGCUAUACAUCACUGGUAACAUGAUAUAUAUAUUAAUUGGCAUGAUAAUGUAGAUUAUAUGGCAUGAUAAGAAGAUAUAUUUUUGUUAAUUUCCAUUUCUUAUGCUCAGAGGCAAGGAUUAACAUGGGAAAGGGACACUAUGAUAAUAUAAAUACACCAUAUCAGGAGGAGCUUGUCUGACCUGAUCAUAUAAAGAGUAAAGGUCCCAUUUGUCGGGGAUGUGAGAGAUGAAUCGCUGCCUGUUACUGAUCAAGCUUCCCUUUAUAGCUUAACUAGCUUGUAAUUACUAAUUAUAGGAAGGACAUGAUCAUUUCUCGAUGAUGGUUUGUCGGGAUGAUGGAAUCCAAAGGAGAAAUUUCUUCUUCUUUUCCCUUUCUUAUCUCCUUCGAUUACUUGGCGUUUGAUGAAAAGCAAGAUUAGCCAUAGUGAUGGGCAUUUGGUAAUAGAAAAGACUGGACUGGACUGGUUCUGAGAAGUAAUAGUUGGAAUUAAACCAUUGCAGGAUCAGCUGUAAAAUGGCGAGAGUGGGAUUCCCAUUUCCUAAUUCAGAGAACACUCAAAAUCCAAGGAAGCACGUUCGUUGUUGCUAGAAAUUUAUAAUAGCAGCUCUCGAUCUCCAUAGGAAUGAUGCCUCAUGCCCCUAGCCAUUACUGCCUUUUCAUGAUACGAUGAUUGGCCUAUAUGAUAUUCUUGUUUCCCCCCAGCCCUAGAAAGUGGCCAUCAGAUGAUUUCGCAGUUGUUUUCAAUCUGAAAUGAAAUGCUUCCGGUGCCUGCUUCUGCAAAUUAACUUGAUCGAUAGAGA
This 1096-nucleotide long non-coding RNA is filed under the name Populus trichocarpa (black cottonwood). RNAcentral's name for it is "long non-coding RNA (PTRI_LNC002261)". The record is from RNAcentral. Lineage: Eukaryota; Viridiplantae; Streptophyta; Magnoliopsida; Malpighiales; Salicaceae.